RNAcentral lists this long non-coding RNA (4792 nucleotides) under Heterocephalus glaber (naked mole-rat). RNAcentral describes it as "lncRNA (ENSHGLG00100044825.1)". The record is from RNAcentral. Lineage: Eukaryota; Metazoa; Chordata; Mammalia; Rodentia; Bathyergidae.
CUUAUCUGUGAGCCACAGUUGUUUUCAAAAUCCCAAACAUAGACAAAAUAGUAUUCAUAUUAAGGAAUAAUUUUUGACUAAACUACAACUAUUUCUUGCAUUUCAAAUUAUCUGCUUGUUUCAGAUGUGAAAGUUGUUUUCUUCUCCUUAUCAAUCUUCCAGUCAGAAAAGCAAUUUUCCUUUUUAAAUUCUAGUGAGGGAUAGAGCCAAUAAUAACUAUAGAGUUAUAUAAUGAAACCUUCACAGACAACUGGUAAUUACAUCAUUGGAAAUAAUAAAUAUGUAAUAUCACAGUUGUUCCUGAAGUUAAAUAUAAUAUCAAAUUUCAGGAUAUACAUAUGACAGUAUAAAAUUUUACCAUUGUAGGUAAAAAAAAACAAAAACUGCUCUAAUUCCAUGGAAAAGGUGCUGUAGAAAAAGUAGUCCCACCCCCAAAUCCUUGACAGUAUUUUGAGGUUUUAAGAUUAAGGCAGUUUUCUCUAUAUUCUAGCAACUUAGCAACCAUGCUUCUGGAUCUCCAUUUGUCUGUGAAGAAACUCUACUUUAUGCCAGAUUCCUCUUACAUUUGUCCUAGAUUUUUUCCUCACUAGAUUCUAGUCCUCCUGCUUGCUGCCUUUCCUAUCAUGUUUAUUGUAUGUCUUGAAUCCAGAGGAUCAGGUCUCAAGCUCUUAUGGUCCAGGCAGUGUCAUUUCUAGGAAAUAUCAUUCAUUUUGCCCCUGGCCCAUGUGUAAUUCUAAUUUCUAGGAAUUAGUACAUUCAGUUUCCCAGGAAACUCAUCCUGAGCCAUUUGUAUGCAGUAGAUUUCCCCAAUUUCUCUUUCUGUAUUCUUGUCAUGUAAAUGAUUACAGAUGACAGCUUUCUGCCCCCCAACCUUGACUCUCAUAUUUUGUAUUAGUCAUGCUUCAGUAGCACAUUGUCAAACAUCUUAUUGAUAUGAGUCAGUUCUCAAAAUAAUAAUCAUCUAGCUCUAUUCUUAGGGAAUUCUUGAUGAGCAAAUAUUCAAUAUAUCUAAGAAAAUGAGUUCAUUCUUAUGUUACUCUGUUAUAACAAAAUUUACAAGCAAUUUUUUAAAAGGGGGUUUCUUUUUCUCUAAUCUUUCCACUUAGCAGGGUUAAUAGAAGGUAACCAAAUAAUUAUUUGAUUACAACAGUCACUAAAGCUGUGAGUGAGCAGUUCUUUAACAUAUAAGAACAUUUCACAAGAUCUCACUUUUCUUAGAAUUCAACAAAGCUUCUCAGAAGAAGUAAGCUACAAACUGAGUCCAGAGCCUGAGUAUAUAGAGUUUGAUUGGCCUGAGAAGUUCAAGUAAGGAUGUUGAGGUAGAAUUUGUUUGCCAUUGAAUUGGGUAAGAAGAGUAGAAUACCCAAUUCAUGACAUCCAAUGUUCAUAAUAUCCAUAAGAACCCAUUCUAUAUUGCUUGCUCUGACUGCUGUUUCUCCAUAAACACUUUUUACUUUAAACCAACUGAAUUUUGAUUCUUCCCUCAACAAAAACGUGAAUUUUCCUCUCUGCUUUGGUUUCUUUUACUUAGUCUUCCCACACUUCUUAUCUAUUCUCACAGUUCUUAUGACUUUGAUGUUUAUGACAGCCUCAACUUUUAGAUUCAUGUAGUUUUCAAGUGGUAUUUCCUUUAUAAUGCCUUUAUUGUCAAACAAAACUUUCCCUCAGUCUUUUGAAGUUGAGACUAGGCUAAAUGAGUGUGAAAUUUAAAGAAUGAUAUAUUGCAAUUGUUGUUGUUUUUGUUGUUGUUGUUGGUUUUCUUAGACAGGGUCUCACAAUGCAGUUCAGGCUGGUCUUGAAGUCACUAUGUAGCUCUGGCUGGCCUCAAACUCACAGAGAUCCUCCUCCAUCUGCCUCCUGAGUGCUGAGAUUACAGGAGUUCACCACUACAUCCAGGGAUGUAUGGCAAUCUUGAUUUAGCUAAAACCUCAGUGGUCCCGUGAUGCUCCAGGGCAAGAUUACACCCGCUGAAGACAUCCAGGGAAGAACAAAAUCUUCAUCUUCAUAGUUCCUCAUUGUUCUAGGAUUAUCGCUGUGGGUGCCACCAUUGCCCCCUGAGUGAUCUUUUACAUUUGUUACUCUCUGAUGUUCUGAACUUUAUGCCCUGAAUCAUGUUACAUUUGUUUCUCCUAAUGUACUGAAUAAAAAUGUGGCAAGCUCUGGGGCUUUCAUCUUUGUGGCCCAGAGCAGCAUUGAUCAGACCCAAAGCUCAGCUUCUUCUCUAAGCCUCAUUUUUUCUAUCUUUCCUGUAUAAUAAGUUAAUUCACCUUGUGCUGUUGUGGCUCACAGGAGACUAGGAGUUACUGCAGAGGUUCUAGUAACGUUUCCUUACCCUGUUCCCUACAUGCACUCCCACCAAUAAAGAAGAGUUCUUUCUUCCCUACAGCCUCACCGUCAUUUGUUAUUUGUUUAUUUUCAUUGGUUUCUGGGGAGAGGUGAAAACUUAGUUUUAAUUUUCAUUUCUUGAAUGACCAAAUAUUUUGAACCUUUCUUCUUGUAUCUAUUGGGCAAUUGCAUUUCCUCAUCUUAGAACUGUCUGCUCUUUUCAGAUGCCCACAUUUUUUUUAGGUCUUUAAAUUUGGUGGUCUAUUUUUUAUAUGUUAUAAAUGUUAGUCCUUUGAGGAUCAUAUGUUAAGAAAAGUAAAUCAGAUACACAAGCUUGAACAUCAUAUAGUUUUGCUUAUAUGAAAAAAGUUAAUAGAAAAACAGAGGAGAAAAAAGUUUCUGUAUUCUCAGUAUGUUUCUGCUGUUAAUUUCUAGUUUCACUCCAAUAAGAUGUGAGAGAUCACUUUGCAUGAUUUCUUUGGAUUUGUUAAGAUCUUUAUUGUUGAUAUGAGCAUGGUCUAUUUUGAAUUUAAAAAAUUCCAAGAAUAAGAAAGUCUAUGAAGAUAGAGAGUGCAGUAGUUGAGUGGUUGCCUGGAUUGGGUUGGGGGGCACAAUUGGGAGAUGAUAGCUAUGGGUAGAGUGUUUUGUUUCGGGAUCACAAAAAUGGUCUAAAUGUGUAGUCAUGGUUGUUCAACUUUGUCAAUGUGCUAUAAUUUACUGAAUCUUAUACUUUAAGUGUGUAAAUUGUAUGGCAUGCAAAUUUUAGUUUAAUAAAGCUGUUAUUUUUUUUUUAACUGUGUCCAAUUAUUGCUCAUCUCUGCACAUGGGCACGUUUGUCACUUAGGGAGUGUCUAUCUAAAAAUUGUCUAUUUAAAAGCAAAAGUUGUUUAUCUCUAACUCUACCCAAACUAACUCAUCCUCUGUCAAGAAUACGAACACCAAAACAAGAGAUUUAUGGGGUUUGAACUUCUAAUGAGCACCCCGUAGUCUUCAGUUAUUACUCUAAACAUUAGAUCACUUUAAGUUUCACCACAGCCUCCAGAAAACCGAGACCACACGAAACAGAAGCAACCAUCUCAUUGAAAAUAAAUUGCUUCCUUCAGCAGUAAGGACCUCUCACAGAGCCGUCUUGCAAAACCAGAAAUGUAAUAAUGAUCAUCCACAAGCUGACCUACCUCAGGCAACCCAUAAAGUUCAGUUUUCUACAUUUAUGAGAAGGCUGGCCUGAUCCUCUCAGUCAGAGGCCUCAGAGAUAUCUUCCUCAUCAGCUCCUCAACCUAAAGCCCUCUCACUAUUUUCCCUUGUUUUCUAACUCUGACCAGUAAAUCUGCCUAUGCCUCACACUGAUGCAUCUUGAAAUGCAUUUUUGUUGUGUGUGACAAGAGUCAAUAACCUCUUCUGGGAGACCAGAUGAGCGCUCUGUCUUCUCGUUGGGGAGAAGUCCUCGGAUCCCAACCAGUGAUAGGUCUGUAUAUACAAGCUAAAUCUGUAAAGCUUCAAGAAAAAAAGACAUAAGAGAGUGGAUUUCCAUCCUGAUGAUAGGCAAAAGUUUCAUAUAAAAUAUAUACUCUAUAUAAAUAUAGAGUAUAUAUAACAUAUGGAUAUAUAAAAUAAAAAUAAUUGAUAAACUUGAUUUCAUCAAAAUUAAAAAUAAAAUUAAAAUAAUUGAUAAACUUGAUUUCAUCAAAAUGAACAUUUUUGCUCACUAAAACAGCAUUAAAAUGAGAAGAGUAAACAACAAGUAGGACAUUAUUAACUUGCAAUAAUAUGAUAAUGGGCUUACUUUCAGAGUAUGUAAAGACUCUUUUAAGUAAUUGUAGAAAAGUAAAUAAUCAGUACACAAAAGAAGACAUGGUAAUGGCCAAUAAACAUAAGAAAAGAUGCCAAAAAUCACCAUUCCACAAGUAAAUGGAACUUAAAACUACAGUGUGAUGGCACAUAGCAUCCACCUCAUGGGGAAAGAAAUACAACACUGUCAAAUAUUCAUGAGGAGAUAGAUGAUGUUAGAACUCUAGGGCAAUGUUGAUGUGAAAGUAAGAUUAUAAAGCUAACUUCAAACCAGUCUGUGGGCAAUUUCCAGUGAAGUUAAGCAUUUACUCACUCAACAGAAGAGAAACUCCAUUCUGAGAUUUUUUUCUAAGAAAAAAACCUAAAAACAUCCCUUAAAUGAAUGGACUGAUCCAUAUUCAGUACAGCUUUAUUGAUCAAUUAAAAAAAUUUGAGGCAAUUCAAUGCCCAUCAAUAGGUGAAAUAAUAAACUCAUUAUUAUAUAUUGACAAAAGGGAACAGAAGACAAAAAUAAAAUAAAACAUUCAACAACAUAGUUUCAAAGGCAUGAUGAGUGAAAAAGUUGUUUGCAAAAGAGAAAUGCUGUAUGAUUUCAUUUUUAUGACAUUCUAGAAGAAUAUUAAUCUAUGGUGAUAAAAACUCUCAUAGUAAUUGCUUCUGGGAGACAGAUUAAUUAAAA